This 911-nucleotide ribosomal RNA is filed under the name uncultured bacterium. Its description in RNAcentral is "bacterial SSU rRNA". It matches the Rfam family "Bacterial small subunit ribosomal RNA", at positions 33 to 926 of the family's 1533-position model. The record is from RNAcentral.
ACGCUGGCGGCGUGCCUAAUACAUGCAAGUAGAACGCUGAAGAGAGGAGCUUGCUCUUCUUGGAUGAGUUGCGAACGGGUGAGUAACGCGUAGGUAACCUGCCUUGUAGCGGGGGAUAACUAUUGGAAACGAUAGCUAAUACCGCAUAACAAUGGGUGACACAUGUCGUUUAUUUGAAAGGGGCAAUUGCUCCACUACAAGAUGGACCUGCGUUGUAUUAGCUAGUAGGUGAGGUAACGGCUCACCUAGGCGACGAUACAUAGCCGACCUGAGAGGGUGAUCGGCCACACUGGGACUGAGACACGGCCCAGACUCCUACGGGAGGCAGCAGUAGGGAAUCUUCGGCAAUGGGGGCAACCCUGACCGAGCAACGCCGCGUGAGUGAAGAAGGUUUUCGGAUCGUAAAGCUCUGUUGUAAGUCAAGAACGAGUGUGAGAGUGGAAAGUUCACACUGUGACGGUAGCUUACCAGAAAGGGACGGCUAACUACGUGCCAGCAGCCGCGGUAAUACGUAGGUCCCGAGCGUUGUCCGGAUUUAUUGGGCGUAAAGCGAGCGCAGGCGGUUUGAUAAGUCUGAAGUUAAAGGCUGUGGCUCAACCAUAGUUCGCUUUGGAAACUGUCAAACUUGAGUGCAGAAGGGGAGAGUGGAAUUCCAUGUGUAGCGGUGAAAUGCGUAGAUAUAUGGAGGAACACCGGUGGCGAAAGCGGCUCUCUGGUCUGUAACUGACGCUGAGGCUCGAAAGCGUGGGGAGCGAACAGGAUUAGAUACCCUGGUAGUCCACGCCGUAAACGAUGAGUGCUAGGUGUUGGAUCCUUUCCGGGAUUCAGUGCCGCAGCUAACGCAUUAAGCACUCCGCCUGGGGAGUACGACCGCAAGGUUGAAACUCAAAGGAAUUGACGGGGGCCCGCAC